RNAcentral lists this ribosomal RNA (440 nucleotides) under uncultured bacterium. RNAcentral's name for it is "partial 16S ribosomal RNA". It matches the Rfam family "Bacterial small subunit ribosomal RNA", at positions 338 to 795 of the family's 1533-position model. The record is from RNAcentral.
CCUACGGGAGGCAGCAGUGGGGAAUAUUGCACAAUGGGGGAAACCCUGAUGCAGCGACGCCGCGUGAGUGAAGAAGUAUUUCGGUAUGUAAAGCUCUAUCAGCAGGGAAGUAAAUGACGGUACCUGAUUAAGAAGCCCCGGCUAACUACGUGCCAGCAGCCGCGGUAAGACGUAGGGGGCAAGCGUUAUCCGGAUGUACUGGGUGUAAAGGGAGCGUAGACGGUAGUGCAAGUCAGAAGUGAAAUGUCGGGGCUUAACCCCGGAACUGCUUUUGAAACUGUGCAACUUGAGUGCAGGAGAGGUAAGUGGAAUUCGUGGUGUAGCGGUGAAAUGCGUAGAUAUCAGGAGGAACACCAGUGGCGAAGGCGGCUUACUGGACUGUAACUGACGUUGAGGCUCGAAAGCGUGGGGAGCAAACAGGAUUAGAUACCCUUGUAGUC